AGUGAACGCUGGCGGUAGGCCUAACACAUGCCAGUCGAACGGCAGCACAGUAAGAGCUUGCUCUUACGGGUUGCGAGUGGCGGACGGGUGAGGUAUACAUCGGAAUCUACUUUUUCGUGUGGUAUAACGUAGGGAAACUUACGCUACUACCGCAUACGACCUACGGGUGAAAGCAGGGGAUCUUCGGACCUUUCGCGAUUGUAUGAGCCGAUUUCGGAUUUGCUAGUUGGUGGGGUAAUGGCCCACCAAGGCGACGAUCCGUAGAUGGUCUGAGAGGAGGAUAAGCCACACUGGAAGUGAGACACGGACCAGACUACUACGGGAGACAGCAGUGGGGAAUAGUGGACAAUGGGCGGAAGACUGAUCCAGCCAUACCGCGUGGGAGAAGAAGGCCUUCGGGUUGUAAAGCCCUUUUGUUGGGAAAGAAAAGCAGCAGGUUAAUACCACGCUGUUCUGACGGUACCCAAAGAAUAAGCACCGGCUAACUUCGUG
Molecule: ribosomal RNA, 492 nt
Filed under: uncultured bacterium
Lineage: Bacteria
Description: partial 16S ribosomal RNA
Rfam family: Bacterial small subunit ribosomal RNA
Source: RNAcentral